AGCAUCAAUCUUAUCCUGUGGCGAAAAGUCAGGUUGGAUUGAGUGGCGUUUGAAAUGGCGUAAGGCUGAGAUGAGCCGAGUCAUGUUUGAAGUGGCGUGAAAUUAGUUAGGCCGAGUCACAAUCGAGAUCUUUGGUUGCUAUAUUUGUACACUUUAUAUAAGUGAAUUGGUUGCUUAUUUUUAACAAAGGCACCAACGAUGCGACACCACCCUUU
RNAcentral lists this long non-coding RNA (215 nucleotides) under Ananas comosus (pineapple). RNAcentral's name for it is "long non-coding RNA (ACOM_LNC017273)". The record is from RNAcentral. Lineage: Eukaryota; Viridiplantae; Streptophyta; Magnoliopsida; Poales; Bromeliaceae.